RNAcentral lists this ribosomal RNA (373 nucleotides) under uncultured prokaryote. Its description in RNAcentral is "bacterial SSU rRNA". It matches the Rfam family "Bacterial small subunit ribosomal RNA", at positions 526 to 896 of the family's 1533-position model. The record is from RNAcentral.
CAUAGGCUUCGAGCGUUGUCCGGAUUUAUUGGGCGUAAAGAGUUCGUAGGCGGUCGAGUAAGUCGGGUGUGAAAAUUCUGGGCUCAACCCAGAGACGCAACCCGAUACUGCUUAACUUGAGUUCGAUAGGGGAGUGGGGAAUUCCUAGUGUAGCGGUGAAAUGCGCAGAUAUUAGGAGGAACACCGGUGGCGAAGGCGCCACUCUGGAUCGAUACUGACGCUGAGGAACGAAAGCAUGGGUAGCAAACAGGAUUAGAUACCCUGGUAGUCCAUGCGGUAAACGCUGGGCACUAGGUGUGGGUUUCUAUUAACGAAAUCCGCGCCCACUCUAACACCUUAAGUGCCCCGCCUGGGGAGUACUGUCUCAAGACUA